This is a non-coding RNA of Equus caballus (horse), 357 nucleotides long. NCBI's taxonomy places the organism in Eukaryota, Metazoa, Chordata, Mammalia, Perissodactyla, Equidae. The record is from RefSeq and is a predicted model, not a curated record.
UAUCACAUGAGCUUUGAAGUUUCAGAAAAUCAUGCCUAAAGGUCAAGAAAAGUGUUGGUAGACACCUGAAGGGAGGGGCCUAUCAGGCCACACCCCUGGGAGGAACUUUGAGAAGCCAAAUGGUGUGAAAUCCAAUAGCCAUUUAUGGAAGGAGCUCACAAGCUGUUUGCCAGUUUGAUGAAGAGCAGCAUUAGUAGACACAGGUAAAGAACGAAAACAAGUGCACAAGAGAACUCGAGACCCAGGGGGACAAUGCCAACGCCGUGUUAAGAUGAACUGAACGUCUCUGAGAAACUCUCUAGCAGAAACUGGAAUCGCAAAAACCAAAAAUAAGUAAAACAAAAUGGUUGCACAUGA